RNAcentral lists this ribosomal RNA (253 nucleotides) under uncultured bacterium. RNAcentral's name for it is "partial 16S ribosomal RNA". It matches the Rfam family "Bacterial small subunit ribosomal RNA", at positions 524 to 776 of the family's 1533-position model. The record is from RNAcentral.
UACGGAGGGUGCGAGCGUUGUCCGGAAUCACUGGGCGUAAAGGGCGCGUAGGCGGCUUCUCAAGCGUGUGGUGAAAGUCCGGGGCUCAACCCCGGAUCGGCCGUGCGGACUGGGGAGCUCGAGUUCUGUAGAGGCGGGUGGAAUUCCGGGUGUAGCGGUGGAAUGCGCAGAUAUCAGGAGGAACACCGGUGGCGAAGGCGGGUCUCUGGGCAGUAACUGACGCUGAGGAGCGAAAGCGUGGGGAGCGAACAGG